GAAAGGGAAUACUUCAGGCAUUCUCUUUAUUCGGGGGGGAGUGUGUUAGGAACAUCGGCCUGACUAAAGGGUAGCAAGACACGUCUGAUUUAUCCUUGCCCUCCUUGUAGAGAAGUCCUUUACAUGGUGUAGGUGUCCAUACAAUAGAUUUAUAUCGGCUGUAAGGAAGACAUUUUUUCUUGUGACAGUGUUGAGGCACUGGAGCAGGGCGCACAGAGGAGCUGAGGAUGCUCCGUCCCUGGAAGCGUCCAGGCCCAGGCCGGACGGGGCUUUGAGCAGUUCGAUCUAGUGCAAGAUGUCCCUGCUCAUGACAGGGUUAGAACUAGGUGCUCUUUAAGGCCCCUUCAACCCAAACCGUUCUGUAAUUCUGUAAUUAUUGCUGUCUAUGUAAAGAAGCCAAAGCAUGAACGACGAUCACUAAGGAAUUCAAUUCCCCCUCUUAAAAUGCAGCUCCUUCCUUGCAUUUAUUGCUCCUUUUAGAUAUAUUUUUAUUAUCAAGCUUCUGCGAAUCCACACUAAGGCAUGUGAGGUAAAAGGCUCUCUGAUGUAUCUACAAAUUAACGCAAGGAAGCAUUUUCCUGAGUGCCCGUCACCCAAGAUGCAAUUUAGAAGACAGCCCACAAGAGGUCCCACAGAUAUUGCUAGCCGGGGAGCCACAGCAACAAUGGAAAUUGCACCCUCUGCAUCAAUGAGCUGUCAGAGAAAGCACUUGGAAGAAAGGGGCCUUUAGUAUGGGAAGAAGCCAAUUAUUAUAGGCAAGUUAAGCUUCCCUCUGAAGUUGGAUAGUGACAGUAAUUACUGUCUCGCCUCCUAAGAGCUACACCUGUCAGUAACCAAGUAUCUAGCAUUGCACUUUGUCAUCUGCAAGCCUCUAUCGGCACCCUGUGAAAUGUGUUUAUCAUUUCUUCCACUACAGACACUUUAAACUCAAGAUCAAACCUUGCAGAGAAGUUUGGCUUCGCGAAUUUGGUGUUCAGAUCACAGCAGCCUGAACUGAGUGCAUCAUUCUGUGAUGCUGUGACACGACUUCAGGGCAUCCACUGUCUGCUGUGGGUGGACACUGAGUCUGGACAGGAGAAAAUGCAAGUGAAGAAGCAGAGGAGCCAGAUCAGCAUCCCUGGCAGUCUGAGGCAAUUCAUGAUCUCUGUCAGGCCACCCUUGCUAGUGAGCGUCAUGGUACAGCUGAGCAACAAAGCAGCACUGCCAGUGGAGGGCCAUUCCUCACCAGCACUGUGGGGAAGGUGUGAAGACAAGAGGCAGCAGAGAUUGGCAUCAAAACCUCACUUUAGGUGGGAAUCAAAAUCCCAAAAAUGUGUUUUCAAGCUCUUCCCUAAAGAGUUUGUUGUCUUUCUGCCCACCCCCUCCCCUUGCCCUUGAAUCUCUUAGUUACAAUAGGAAAAUUGUUUCACUCUUGCUUUUCCCUGUAGCUCAGCACUGGGCUCCCUUCCCAGAGCAAGUUUUUCAACUGAUUUUAAAAAGAGACUGUUUCCCCAUGAGACAGUGAGGAGGCAGAUGUGCUCUCUGACAUGCCAUGGCAUGUCUGCUGGCAGUGUUGUGCUCCAAGUCCAAGCUUGGUAUGCCUACUGAAAGAAAUGGUGUCUUUCUCAUGAGAGUACUUGUCCUUGGUGACACUAUCUUCUUCCUUUUCUUAGGAGAAAGAAACAGUCACAUACAACACUAAAGUCUCACAGGGGCCAUGAGAGGAGGCUGGAGAUUGAGCCUGGAAAAAUAUUUGGAGUCAAGAAUAUUUUGAAAGAUUAGGCUAGAGGGGUCAAGCAUGUGAGGGGAUAGAUUUUCUAUUUGUAGCAAAUCCAGUGUCAGUCGUGUUAACAGAGACAGGGCUGGAGAAGCAGUGUGGGAAAGCAGACAGACAAGUCUGGCAGCUUCUUAAUGGCUAGGGAGUUUGGAUGCUGACAUGCUUUUCAGGUUGUUUUGCAGGGAGGUAUUCCUCCUUUUGAGGCAUUGUUUUUGAUGCUUGUGACCCUCGGAGAACAGGAGGAUCGAUCAUCUAUGUCAGGUCAAUGAAGAUGGAAGUAAACCUUUCAUUCUCCUUUCCCCCUAUUCCUCUUUGUAUUUUCAACUCAUUUUCUUAUCACAAGAGACUUUCCUCAGAUUUCUCUCAUCAUAUCACUUGACCUGACACAACCUGCCUCCUGAGUUUCCUCACACCUAUUUCCAUUUAUUUUCCUUCUUCACCUUUUCUUAGCACCCCAGAUUUUAAGGAAUGCAGAUCCUCCUCAACUCUAAUUUUUGCCUAGUAUCUUCCUUUUCCUGCUGCUCAAUACCAUAUUCUGGGUCCUUACCUCUUUUCUUGCCCUUCCUUCUCUCCAACCUCUCUUAAUUUUCCUCAAUAUGCUUUACCUCUGUCAUGGCUUGCAAACUCUUGUGUCUGUGCAGUUUGUUGUCUACAGCCUCUCCUGUCUCCCACACACCUCUGCCUGCCACUGAGUGAUCAGCUUCCUCAUGGGGGGAAGUGGAGGAGCAGGCACUUCUCUGUGGUGACCAUUGAUAGAACCCAAGGGAAUGGCCUGAAGGCUCACAGCUGGAGAGGACAGCUAAUACCUUCUUUGGGGUGGUGAAUCUGACUUUGCAGCAUCCCCUUUGACAGCCUCAGGAACA
Molecule: long non-coding RNA, 2619 nt
Organism: Parus major (Great Tit)
Lineage: Eukaryota; Metazoa; Chordata; Aves; Passeriformes; Paridae
Exons: 3
Source: RefSeq, a predicted model, not a curated record